GCAACAGCUCAGAUUUGGAAUCUGGCCCCCAGGGCCCGAGUUGUAAUCUGGAGAGGAUGUUUCUGGCGCGGCGCCUUCCGAGUUCCCUGGAACGGGACGCCGGAGAGGGUGAGAGCCCCGUACGGUUGGACGCCAAGCCUUUGUGAAGCUCCUUCGACGAGUCGAGUAGUUUGGGAAUGCUGCUCAAAAUGGGAGGUAAAUUUCUUCUAAAGCUAAAUACCGGCCAGAGACCGAUAGCGCACAA
This 244-nucleotide ribosomal RNA is filed under the name Grosmannia crassivaginata. RNAcentral describes it as "ribosomal RNA large subunit". It matches the Rfam family "Eukaryotic large subunit ribosomal RNA", at positions 101 to 347 of the family's 3401-position model. Lineage: Eukaryota; Fungi; Ascomycota; Sordariomycetes; Ophiostomatales; Ophiostomataceae. The record is from RNAcentral.